GAUGAAGAACGCAGCGAAAUGCGAUAAGUAAUGUGAAUUGCAGAAUUCAGUGAAUCAUCGAAUCUUUGAACGCACCUUGCACCCUUUGGUAUUCCGAAGGGUAUGCUCGUUUGAGUGUCAUUGUACUCUCACACUUCUAAUUCCUUUUGGGAUUGGGAGCGGUGGACUUGGGUGUUGCUGCUUUAGUUGUGGCUCACCUCAAAUAAGUUAGUGCAACUCUUGGUUGGACAUAGUACGGCGUGAUAAGUGUCUUCGCCGGCGCCUCUGUAAGGAGGGUGGCCGAUCGGGAGCUCUGUGCUUCAAACCGUCUUCGGACAAUCUUUGACAACUUGACCUCAAAUCGAGUAGGACUACCCGCUGAACUUAAGCAUAUCAAUAAGCGGAGGA
Molecule: unclassified non-coding RNA, 387 nt
Filed under: soil metagenome
Description: partial contains 5.8S ribosomal RNA, internal transcribed spacer 2, and large subunit ribosomal RNA
Rfam family: 5.8S ribosomal RNA (bases 1-120)
Source: RNAcentral